This 23-nucleotide small nuclear RNA is filed under the name Arabidopsis thaliana (thale cress). RNAcentral describes it as "snRNA_08678". The record is from RNAcentral. Lineage: Eukaryota; Viridiplantae; Streptophyta; Magnoliopsida; Brassicales; Brassicaceae.
AAGUCGUGUGAGAAAGUCGUACA